UCCCUGGUAACUCAGAUGGUAAAGAAUCUGCCUGCAAUGCAGGAGACCCAGGUUCAAUCCCUGGGUUGGGAA
RNAcentral lists this transfer RNA (72 nucleotides) under Bos taurus (domestic cattle). It matches the Rfam family "tRNA". Rfam says of the family: Transfer RNA (tRNA) molecules are approximately 80 nucleotides in length. Their secondary structure includes four short double-helical elements and three loops (D, anti-codon, and T loops). Further hydrogen bonds mediate the characteristic L-shaped molecular structure. tRNAs have two regions of fundamental functional importance: the anti-codon, which is responsible for specific mRNA codon recognition, and the 3' end, to which the tRNAs corresponding amino acid is attached (by aminoacyl-tRNA synthetases). tRNAs cope with the degeneracy of the genetic code in two manners: having more than one tRNA (with a specific anti-codon) for a particular amino acid; and 'wobble' base-pairing, i.e. permitting non-standard base-pairing at the 3rd anti-codon position. The record is from Rfam by way of RNAcentral. Lineage: Eukaryota; Metazoa; Chordata; Mammalia; Artiodactyla; Bovidae. RNAcentral also lists the same sequence under 2 other names.